CCGCUGGUGUACCAGUUGUCUUGCCAAAGGCAUCGCUGGGUAGCUAUGUAGGGAACGGAUAAACGCUGAAAGCAUCUAAGUGUGAAACCAACCUCAAGAUGAGAUUUCCCAUUCUUUAUGAAUUAAGAGCCCUGAGAGAUGAUCAGGUAGAUAGGCUAGAAGUGGAAGGACAGUGAUGUUUGGAGCGGACUAGUACUAAUAGCUCGAGGACUUUACCUA
This 219-nucleotide ribosomal RNA is filed under the name Pseudolactococcus raffinolactis. Its description in RNAcentral is "partial 23S ribosomal RNA". It matches the Rfam family "Bacterial large subunit ribosomal RNA", at positions 2706 to 2925 of the family's 2925-position model. Lineage: Bacteria; Bacillati; Bacillota; Bacilli; Lactobacillales; Streptococcaceae. The record is from RNAcentral.